RNAcentral lists this ribosomal RNA (177 nucleotides) under uncultured archaeon. Its description in RNAcentral is "partial 16S ribosomal RNA". It matches the Rfam family "Archaeal small subunit ribosomal RNA", at positions 457 to 633 of the family's 1478-position model. The record is from RNAcentral.
GCCAGCCGCCGCGGUAAUACCGGCGGCUCGAGUGGUGGCCACUUUUAUUGGGCUUAAAGCGUUCGUAGCUGGGUUGUUAAGUCUCUUGGGAAAUCUGACGGCUCAACCGUCAGGCGUCCAAGGGAUACUGGCAAUCUUGGAACCGGGAGAGGUGAGGGGUACUUCGGGGGUAGGAGU